RNAcentral lists this transfer RNA (70 nucleotides) under Anolis insolitus. RNAcentral describes it as "tRNA-Trp". It matches the Rfam family "tRNA". From Rfam's summary of the family: Transfer RNA (tRNA) molecules are approximately 80 nucleotides in length. Their secondary structure includes four short double-helical elements and three loops (D, anti-codon, and T loops). Further hydrogen bonds mediate the characteristic L-shaped molecular structure. tRNAs have two regions of fundamental functional importance: the anti-codon, which is responsible for specific mRNA codon recognition, and the 3' end, to which the tRNAs corresponding amino acid is attached (by aminoacyl-tRNA synthetases). tRNAs cope with the degeneracy of the genetic code in two manners: having more than one tRNA (with a specific anti-codon) for a particular amino acid; and 'wobble' base-pairing, i.e. permitting non-standard base-pairing at the 3rd anti-codon position. The record is from RNAcentral. Lineage: Eukaryota; Metazoa; Chordata; Lepidosauria; Squamata; Anolidae.
UAAAAACUUAAGUUAAACCAAACUAAGAGCCUUCAAAGCUCAAAAUAAGGGUAGAACCCCCUUAGUUUUU